RNAcentral lists this transfer RNA (71 nucleotides) under Scincella lateralis (ground skink). RNAcentral's name for it is "tRNA-Trp". It matches the Rfam family "tRNA". Rfam says of the family: Transfer RNA (tRNA) molecules are approximately 80 nucleotides in length. The record is from RNAcentral. Lineage: Eukaryota; Metazoa; Chordata; Lepidosauria; Squamata; Scincidae.
AGGGACUUAGGCUAAUAAUAAACCAGCAGCCUUCAAAGUUGCAAACAAGAGUUAAAAUCUCUUAGUCCCUG